UAAUAAGUGUUUUAUGGCACUUUUUAAAUCCAUAUCCACCUUGUGUGCAAUGUUAGUCGAUCUUCUUCACGGAGAUCGACCAAACAUCAACCUUUAUCUUUUAACUCUUUGUCUGAAAAAUAUUAUGAAUAAACAAUUCAAAAUA
RNAcentral lists this unclassified non-coding RNA (145 nucleotides) under soil metagenome. RNAcentral describes it as "partial internal transcribed spacer 1". The record is from RNAcentral.